RNAcentral lists this ribosomal RNA (253 nucleotides) under uncultured bacterium. Its description in RNAcentral is "partial 16S ribosomal RNA". It matches the Rfam family "Bacterial small subunit ribosomal RNA", at positions 524 to 776 of the family's 1533-position model. The record is from RNAcentral.
UACGUAGGCAGCGAGCGUUGUUCGGAAUUACUGGGCGUAAAGAGUGUGUAGGUGGUGAUCUAAGUCUGUCGUGAAAUCUCCCGGCUUAACUGGGAGGGUGCGGCGGAAACUGGAUCGCUAGAGUAUGGGAGAGGUAAGCGGAAUUCCUGGUGUAGCGGUGAAAUGCGUAGAUAUCGGGAAGAACACCCGUGGCGAAGGCGGCUCUCUGGGACGGUACUGACGCUGAGACGCGAAAGCGUGGGGAGCGAACAGG